RNAcentral lists this ribosomal RNA (497 nucleotides) under uncultured bacterium. RNAcentral describes it as "partial 16S ribosomal RNA". It matches the Rfam family "Bacterial small subunit ribosomal RNA", at positions 28 to 507 of the family's 1533-position model. The record is from RNAcentral.
GACGAACGCUGGCGGCGUGCCUAAUACAUGCAAGUCGAACGCUGAAGAGAGGAGCUUGCUCUUCUUGGAUGAGUUGCGAACGGGUGAGUAACGCGUAGGUAACCUGCCUUGUAGCGGGGGAUAACUAUUGGAAACGAUAGCUAAUACCGCAUAACAAUAGGUGACACAUGUCAUUUAUUUGAAAGGGGCAAUUGCUCCACUACAAGAUGGACCUGCGUUGUAUUAGCUAGUAGGUGAGGUAACGGCUCACCUAGGCGACGAUACAUGGCCGACCUGAGAGGGUGAUCGGCCACACUGGGACUGAGACACGGCCCAGACUCCUACGGGAGGCAGCAGUAGGGAAUCUUCGGCAAUGGGGGCAACCCUGACCGAGCAACGCCGCGUGAGUGAAGAAGGUUUUCGGAUCGUAAAGCUCUGUUGUAAGUCAAGAACGAGUGUGAGAGUGGAAAGUUCACACUGUGACGGUAGCUUACCAGAAAGGGACGGCUAACUACGUG